RNAcentral lists this ribosomal RNA (253 nucleotides) under uncultured bacterium. RNAcentral's name for it is "partial 16S ribosomal RNA". It matches the Rfam family "Bacterial small subunit ribosomal RNA", at positions 524 to 776 of the family's 1533-position model. The record is from RNAcentral.
UACGGAGGGGGCAAGCGUUGUCCGGAAUCAUUGGGCGUAAAGAGCGCGUAGGCGGCCCUGUAAGUCCGCUGUGAAAGUCAAGGGCUCAACCCUUGGAUGCCGGUGGAUACUGCAGGGCUAGAGUCCGGAAGAGGCGAGUGGAAUUCCUGGUGUAGCGGUGAAAUGCGCAGAUAUCAGGAGGAACACCGAUGGCGAAGGCAGGUCUCUGGGCCGAUACUGACGCUGAGGAGCGAAAGCGUGGGGAGCGAACAGG